GAUGAACGCUGGCGGCGUGCCUAAUACAUGCAAGUCGAGCGAACAGAUGAGGAGCUUGCUCCUCUGACGUUAGCGGCGGACGGGUGAGUAACACGUGGAUAACCUACCUAUAAGACUGGGAUAACUUCGGGAAACCGGAGCUAAUACCGGAUAAUAUAUUGAACCGCAUGAUUCAAUAGUGAAAGACGGUUUUGCUGUCACUUAUAGAUGGAUCCGCGCCGCAUUAGCUAGUUGGUAAGGUAACGGCUUACCAAGGCAACGAUGCGUAGCCGACCUGAGAGGGUGAUCGGCCACACUGGAACUGAGACACGGUCCAGACCCCUACGGGAGGCAGCAGUAGGGAAUCUUCCGCAAUGGGCGAAAGCCUGACGGAGCAACGCCGCGUGAGUGAUGAAGGUCUUCGGAUCGGAAAACUCUGUUAUUAGGGAAGAACAAAUGUGUAAGUAACUAUGCACGUCUUGACGGUACCUAAUCAGAAAGCCACGGCUAACUACGUG
This 497-nucleotide ribosomal RNA is filed under the name uncultured bacterium. RNAcentral's name for it is "partial 16S ribosomal RNA". It matches the Rfam family "Bacterial small subunit ribosomal RNA", at positions 28 to 507 of the family's 1533-position model. The record is from RNAcentral.